GGCAUAUGCCUCUGUUUCAGAACCGACAGUCUCCAUUUCGUCAUUCUGGGUACCAGAUGAAUUUAUAUAUAGGUAUACGGGCUUUGUUGGAUUAUCGAAAUCCAACCACAUAAACUGUGCAACAAUAAGCUCUGUAACAGCUUCUACAAUAGGCAUGCCCAGAUAGACAAUUCUAGCAUCUAAAAGCAAAGAUGGCAAAUCAGGAGGCGCAGUUGGGGAUCUAUCAGAUCUUGCUCCUCCUCCUCCGUACAUGCUGACGCUCAUGCUGCAUGUUGAAGGGCCCUGUUUAUUCAUGCCUGACAUACUCCACAUUCCACCAUUUUUCAGAUAGUUAUGGGAUGAAGAUAUAUUCUCUUCAGUGACGCUUCCCGACUGUCGCCGGGCUGGGUUAUCUUCUGUCAUGAACAUAUCCAUCUGUGACGGAGAAAGGCCGUAAAGAUACUGAGGGGCAUUCUUAUAGUUGUUCAGUAGUCCAUCUUUGAGAUAGUCUUGUCUGAACUGUUUGGGUAUAUGGUUGAAAGACUGGGCUACCGGAGAGCUGUAAGAAUAUCCUCGAACGCCGGCGUUGGGUCUAUGAAGAGAAUCUGAAAAGAAGAAAUUGGGGGUGGGAAGGAAAGUUGAUUUAUUGAGUACAAUAUGAGAGGGAUUAUUAGCAAGAGUAGGGCAAGAAAGUGGAGAGAGAAGCAAGGAAGAAGCCAUGGACAUUUUUUCGUCUUCAAAACUCACUUCUGG
Molecule: unclassified non-coding RNA, 732 nt
Filed under: Hevea brasiliensis (rubber tree)
Lineage: Eukaryota; Viridiplantae; Streptophyta; Magnoliopsida; Malpighiales; Euphorbiaceae
Source: RNAcentral